This is a non-coding RNA of Podarcis lilfordi (Lilford's wall lizard), 72 nucleotides long. The record is from the annotation of a GenBank genome assembly. NCBI's taxonomy places the organism in Eukaryota, Metazoa, Chordata, Lepidosauria, Squamata, Lacertidae.
UGCAGCUCACUUGGUAGAGCAUGAGACUCUCUUAAAUCUCGGGGUUGUGGGUUUGAGCCCCAUACUGGACAA